This 1507-nucleotide ribosomal RNA is filed under the name bacterium. Its description in RNAcentral is "bacterial SSU rRNA". It matches the Rfam family "Bacterial small subunit ribosomal RNA". The record is from RNAcentral.
CAGACUAUACUGCAGUCGAGCGAAUGGAUUAAGAGCUUGCUCCUUAUGAAGUUAGCGGCGGACGGGUGAGUAACACGUGGGUAACCUGCCCAUAAGACUGGGAUAACUCCGGGAAACCGGGGCUAAUACCGGAUAACAUUUUGAACCGCAUGGUUCGAAAUUGAAAGGCGGCUUCGGCUGUCACUUAUGGAUGGACCCGCGUCGCAUUAGCUAGUUGGUGAGGUAACGGCUCACCAAGGCAACGAUGCGUAGCCGACCUGAGAGGGUGAUCGGCCACACUGGGACUGAGACACGGCCCAGACUCCUACGGGAGGCAGCAGUAGGGAAUCUUCCGCAAUGGACGAAAGUCCGACGGAGCAACGCCGCGUGAGUGAUGAAGGCUUUCGGGUCGUAAAACUCUGUUGUUAGGGAAGAACAAGUGCUAGUUGAAUAAGCUGGCACCUUGACGGUACCUAACCAGAAAGCCACGGCUAACUACGUGCCAGCAGCCGCGGUAAUACGUAGGUGCCAAGCGUUAUCCGGAAUUAUCGGGCGUAAAGCGCGCGCAGGUGGUUUCUUAAGUCUGAUGUGAAAGCCCACGGCUCAACCGUGGAGGGUCAUUGGAAACUGGGAGACUUGAGUGCAGAAGAGGAAAGUGGAAUUCCAUGUGUAGCGGUGAAAUGCGUAGAGAUAUGGAGGAACACCAGUUGGCGAAGGCCGACUUUUCUGGUCUGUAACUGACACUGAGGCGGCGAAAGCCGUGGGGAAGCAAACCAGGAUUAGAUACCCUGGGUAGUCCAACGCCGUAAACCGAUGGAGUGGCUAAGUGUGUAGAAGGGUUUCCGCCCUUUAGUUGCUGAAGGUAACGCCAUUAAGCCACUCCCCCUGGGGAGUACGGCCGCAAGGCUGAAACUUCAAAGGAAUUGACGGGGGCCCGCACAAGCGGUGGAACAUGUGGUUUAAUUCGAAGCAACGCGAAGAACCUUACCCAGGUCUUGACAUCCUCUCGACAACCCCAAGAGAUAGGGCUUCUCCUUCGGGAGCAAAAUGACAGGGUGGUGCAUGGGUGUCUGUCAGCCUCCUGUCCUUGAAAUGUUGGGUUAAGUCCCCCACCAAGGGCGCAACCCUUGAACUUAAGUGCCACUUCAUUAAAUUUGGGACAUUCAAAGGGGACUGCCGGGGACCAACCCGAAGAAAGGGGGGGGUGGCGUUCAAUUCUCCAGCCCCCUUUUGCCUUGGCUUCCCCCCUUCUUCCAAUGGCGGUUCCAAAGAGCGCCAAGCCCGGGAGGGGAAGUUAUUUUCUUAAACCGGUUUUCAUUUGGGAUGUUGGGUGCCACUUGGCUUCCAGGAAGCGGAAAUCGUUGUUAUUCGGGGAUCACCAGGCCCCGGGGAUUAGGUUCCCGGCCUUGGUCCCCCCCCCCGGCCCCCCCCGGAGAUUUGGUACCCCCCGAGUUGGGGGGGUUACCCUUUGGAGCCAGCCGCCUAAGGUGGGACAGAUGAUUGGGGUGAAGUCGAACAAGAGCCCACG